Molecule: ribosomal RNA, 426 nt
Filed under: uncultured prokaryote
Description: bacterial SSU rRNA
Rfam family: Bacterial small subunit ribosomal RNA
Source: RNAcentral
UGGGGAAUCUUGGACAAUGGGGGCAACCCUGAUCCAGCGACGCCGCGUGCGGGAGGACGGCCUGUGGGUUGUAAACCGCUUUUCUCUAGGAAGAAGGUCUGACGGUACUAGAGGAAUCAGCAUCGACUAACUCCGUGCCAGCAGCCGCGGUAAGACGGAGGAUGCAAGCGAUAUCCGGAAUUAUUGGGCGUAAAGCGUCCGUAGGCGGUUCAUCAAGUCAGUUGUUAAAGACUGCAGCUCAACUGUGGGCGAGCAACUGAAACUGAUGAACUAGAGUGCGGUAGGGGUAGAGGGAAUUCCCAGUGUAGCGGUGAAAUGCGUAGAUAUUGGGAAGAACACCAGUGGCGAAGGCGCUCUACUGGGCCGCAACUGACGCUGGGGGACGAAAGCGAGGGGAGCGAAAGGGAUUAGAUACCCCUGUAGUCC